Molecule: ribosomal RNA, 253 nt
Filed under: uncultured bacterium
Lineage: Bacteria
Description: partial 16S ribosomal RNA
Rfam family: Bacterial small subunit ribosomal RNA
Source: RNAcentral
UACGUAGGGGGCGAGCGUUGUUCGGAAUCACUGGGCGUAAAGGGCGCGUAGGCGGCCGCUCAAGUCGGGGGUGAAAGCCUGUGGCUUAACCACAGAAUUGCCUUCGAUACUGUUUGGCUUGAGACCGGAAGAGGUGAGUGGAACUGCGAGUGUAGAGGUGAAAUUCGUAGAUAUUCGCAAGAACACCAGUGGCGAAGGCGGCUCACUGGUCCGGUUCUGACGCUGAGGCGCGAAAGCGUGGGGAGCAAACAGG